RNAcentral lists this ribosomal RNA (2884 nucleotides) under Salmonella enterica subsp. enterica serovar Infantis. Its description in RNAcentral is "bacterial LSU rRNA". It matches the Rfam family "Bacterial large subunit ribosomal RNA". Lineage: Bacteria; Pseudomonadati; Pseudomonadota; Gammaproteobacteria; Enterobacterales; Enterobacteriaceae. The record is from RNAcentral.
UUAAGCGACUAAGCGUACACGGUGGAUGCCCUGGCAGUCAGAGGCGAUGAAGGGCGUGCUAAUCUGCGAUAAGCGCCGGUAAGGUGAUAUGAACCGUUAUAACCGGCGAUACCCGAAUGGGGAAACCCAGUGUGACUCGUCACACUAUCAUUAACUGAAUCCAUAGGUUAAUGAGGCGAACCGGGGGAACUGAAACAUCUAAGUACCCCGAGGAAAAGAAAUCAACCGAGAUUCCCCCAGUAGCGGCGAGCGAACGGGGAGGAGCCCAGAGCCUGAAUCAGCAUGUGUGUUAGUGGAAGCGUCUGGAAAGGCGCGCGAUACAGGGUGACAGCCCCGUACACAAAAGCGCAUGUGCUGUGAGCUCGAUGAGUAGGGCGGGACACGUGGUAUCCUGUCUGAAUAUGGGGGGACCAUCCUCCAAGGCUAAAUACUCCUGACUGACCGAUAGUGAACCAGUACCGUGAGGGAAAGGCGAAAAGAACCCCGGCGAGGGGAGUGAAAAAGAACCUGAAACCGUGUACGUACAAGCAGUGGGAGCNNGUGACUGCGUACCUUUUGUAUAAUGGGUCAGCGACUUAUAUUCUGUAGCAAGGUUAACCGAAUAGGGGAGCCGGAGGGAAACCGAGUCUUAAUUGGGCGUUAAGUUGCAGGGUAUAGACCCGAAACCCGGUGAUCUAGCCAUGGGCAGGUUGAAGGUUGGGUAACACUAACUGGAGGACCGAACCGACUAAUGUUGAAAAAUUAGCGGAUGACCUGUGGCUGGGGGUGAAAGGCCAAUCAAACCGGGAGAUAGCUGGUUCUCCCCGAAAGCUAUUUAGGUAGCGCCUCGUGAAUUCAUCUCCGGGGGUAGAGCACUGUUUCGGCUAGGGGGCCAUCCCGGCUUACCAACCCGAUGCAAACUGCGAAUACCGGAGAAUGUUAUCACGGGAGACACACGGCGGGUGCUAACGUCCGUCGUGAAGAGGGAAACAACCCAGACCGCCAGCUAAGGUCCCAAAGUCAUGGUUAAGUGGGAAACGAUGUGGGAAGGCCCAGACAGCCAGGAUGUUGGCUUAGAAGCAGCCAUCAUUUAAAGAAAGCGUAAUAGCUCACUGGUCGAGUCGGCCUGCGCGGAAGAUGUAACGGGGCUAAACCAUGCACCGAAGCUGCGGCAGCGANNGUUGGGUAGGGGAGCGUUCUGUAAGCCUGCGAAGGUGGCCUGUGAGGGUUGCUGGAGGUAUCAGAAGUGCGAAUGCUGACAUAAGUAACGAUAAAGCGGGUGAAAAGCCCGCUCGCCGGAAGACCAAGGGUUCCUGUCCAACGUUAAUCGGGGCAGGGUGAGUCGACCCCUAAGGCGAGGCCGAAAGGCGUAGUCGAUGGGAAACGGGUUAAUAUUCCCGUACUUGGUGUUACUGCGAAGGGGGGACGGAGAAGGCUAUGUUGGCCGGGCGACGGUUGUCCCGGUUUAAGCGUGUAGGUGUGUGUUCCAGGUAAAUCCGGUUCACUUUAACACUGAGGCGUGAUGACGAGGCACUACGGUGCUGAAGCAACAAAUGCCCUGCUUCCAGGAAAAGCCUCUAAGCAUCAGGUAACAUCAAAUCGUACCCCAAACCGACACAGGUGGUCAGGUAGAGAAUACCAAGGCGCUUGAGAGAACUCGGGUGAAGGAACUAGGCAAAAUGGUGCCGUAACUUCGGGAGAAGGCACGCUGACAUGUAGGUGAAGUGAUUUACUCAUGGAGCUGAAGUCAGUCGAAGAUACCAGCUGGCUGCAACUGUUUAUUAAAAACACAGCACUGUGCAAACACGAAAGUGGACGUAUACGGUGUGACGCCUGCCCGGUGCCGGAAGGUUAAUUGAUGGGGUCAGCGCAAGCGAAGCUCCUGAUCGAAGCCCCGGUAAACGGCGGCCGUAACUAUAACGGUCCUAAGGUAGCGAAAUUCCUUGUCGGGUAAGUUCCGACCUGCACGAAUGGCGUAAUGAUGGCCAGGCUGUCUCCACCCGAGACUCAGUGAAAUUGAACUCGCUGUGAAGAUGCAGUGUACCCGCGGCAAGACGGAAAGACCCCGUGAACCUUUACUAUAGCUUGACACUGAACAUUGAGCCUUGAUGUGUAGGAUAGGUGGGAGGCUUUGAAGCGUGGACGCCAGUCUGCGUGGAGCCGACCUUGAAAUACCACCCUUUAAUGUUUGAUGUUCUAACGUGGACCCGUAAUCCGGGUUGCGGACAGUGUCUGGUGGGUAGUUUGACUGGGGCGGUCUCCUCCUAAAGAGUAACGGAGGAGCACGAAGGUUGGCUAAUCCUGGUCGGACAUCAGGAGGUUAGUGCAAUGGCAUAAGCCAGCUUGACUGCGAGCGUGACGGCGCGAGCAGGUGCGAAAGCAGGUCAUAGUGAUCCGGUGGUUCUGAAUGGAAGGGCCAUCGCUCAACGGAUAAAAGGUACUCCGGGGAUAACAGGCUGAUACCGCCCAAGAGUUCAUAUCGACGGCGGUGUUUGGCACCUCGAUGUCGGCUCAUCACAUCCUGGGGCUGAAGUAGGUCCCAAGGGUAUGGCUGUUCGCCAUUUAAAGUGGUACGCGAGCUGGGUUUAGAACGUCGUGAGACAGUUCGGUCCCUAUCUGCCGUGGGCGCUGGAGAACUGAGGGGGGCUGCUCCUAGUACGAGAGGACCGGAGUGGACGCAUCACUGGUGUUCGGGUUGUCAUGCCAAUGGCACUGCCCGGUAGCUAAAUGCGGAAGAGAUAAGUGCUGAAAGCAUCUAAGCACGAAACUUGCCCCGAGAUGAGUUCUCCCUGAGACUUAGAGUCUCCUGAAGGAACGUUGAAGACGACGACGUUGAUAGGCCGGGUGUGUAAGCGCAGCGAUGCGUUGAGCUAACCGGUACUAAUGAACCGUGAGGCUUAACCUU